GAACCUGCGGAAGGAUCAUUAUUGAAUACUAUUAUAUUUUAGUUUUCAACUUCUAAACCCCCCCUUUGUUUAUCUAUACCAUGUUGCUUCCNCUGGACAGGUUGAUUAUGUUUUGCAUAUUCUGCCCUGUAGCUUGUUGCUUUUUUGGGUACAAGUUGGAGAGUUGCCAGUGGAUGACCUAGAAACUCUUAAAUAAAACNCUGUCUUAAACUUUUUUUUUAUUGAAAAAUAAAAUAAAACUUUCAACAACGGAUCUCUAGGCUCUUGCAUCGAUGAAGAACGCAGUAAAAUGCGAUAAGUAAUGUGAAUUGCAGAUCUCGUGAAUCAUCGAAUCUUUGAACGCACAUUGCGCCCUAUAGAAUUCUGUAGGGCAUGCCUGUCUGAGCAUCAUAAUAUCUACUCAGAUCUUUGAUUAUUUUAUAUAGUCUUGGAUUUGGAUUUAAUCAGAGAAGUAACCUAUAUGAGUAGAUUACUCUUUGGAAAAAUAAAGGCAGUUAUAGUGAAACCUGUAUUAAACGUGAUAUUAAAAAGUUUCGUUUUUAAG
This is a ribosomal RNA of 544 nucleotides. The stretch from base 238 to 390 matches the Rfam family "5.8S ribosomal RNA".